GAGACACCCUUAUGGGGCAGGACUUGCCUCAGUGGGGCUUUGGUGCUCACUGAGUCUGCCCCUUCAGUGUGUCGCU
Myotis brandtii (Brandt's bat) is the source of this 76-nucleotide non-coding RNA. Lineage: Eukaryota; Metazoa; Chordata; Mammalia; Chiroptera; Vespertilionidae. The record is from Rfam.